UUUGUACUCCCUCCGUCCCAAAAUUCUUGUCUUAAAUUUUUCUAAAUACGGAUGUAUCUAGUUACCAUUUAGUGUUAGAUACAUCCGUAUCUAAACAAAUGUAAGACAAGAAUUUUGGGAGGAGGGAAUACUAC
Non-coding RNA from Triticum aestivum (bread wheat), 134 nucleotides. The record is from Rfam. NCBI's taxonomy places the organism in Eukaryota, Viridiplantae, Streptophyta, Magnoliopsida, Poales, Poaceae.